AUUAAAGAUCUAAAAAUGAGACCUGAAACCCUAAAAACCUUAGAGGAGAACAUAGAGAGUAACCUCUUGACAUUGGUUGUAGCAGCUUCUUUCUAGGCAUGUCUACUGAGACAGGGGAAAUAAAAGCAGAAAUAAUGUAUUGGGACUUAAUACAAAUAAAAAGCUUCUUGUGCACAGUGAGGGAAUCAAUCAGCUAUACUGUGGAAUGGGAAAAAAAUAUUUGUAGAUGACAUGGUAAUGGGUUAGUAUCCAAAAUAUUCAAAGAACUUAAAGAAUUGAAUGCCCCCAAAAUGAAUAAUGCAAUUAAUAAGUGGGCAGAAGGCAUGAACAGGCAUUUUUCUAUAGAACACAUACUGAUGGCUAACAGACUCAUG
Molecule: long non-coding RNA, 374 nt
Organism: Mustela erminea (ermine)
Lineage: Eukaryota; Metazoa; Chordata; Mammalia; Carnivora; Mustelidae
Exons: 2
Source: RefSeq, a predicted model, not a curated record